CGGCCAUCGGUUUUAUGGUGUAGUUGGUUAUCACAUCAGUCUAACACACUGAAGGUCUCCAGUUCGAGCCUGGAUAAAGCCAUGCCG
This is a non-coding RNA of Marchantia paleacea, 87 nucleotides long. The record is from the annotation of a GenBank genome assembly. NCBI's taxonomy places the organism in Eukaryota, Viridiplantae, Streptophyta, Marchantiopsida, Marchantiales, Marchantiaceae.